GGCAGUAGGGAAUCUUCCGCAAUGGACGAAAGUCUGACGGAGCAACGCCGCGUGAGUGAUGAAGGUUUUCGGAUCGUAAAGCUCUGUUGUUAGGGAAGAACAAGUGCCGUUCAAAUAGGGCGGCACCUUGACGGUACCUAACCAGAAAGCCACGGCUAACUACGUGCCAGCAGCCGCGGUAAUACGUAGGUGGCAAGCGUUGUCCGGAAUUAUUGGGCGUAAAGGGCUCGCAGGCGGUUUCUUAAGUCUGAUGUGAAAGCCCCCGGCUCAACCGGGGAGGGUCAUUGGAAACUGGGGAACUUGAGUGCAGAAGAGGAGAGUGGAAUUCCACGUGUAGCGGUGAAAUGCGUAGAGAUGUGGAGGAACACCAGUGGCGAAGGCGACUCUCUGGUCUGUAACUGACGCUGAGGAGCGAAAGCGUGGGGAGCGAACAGGAUUAGAUACCCUGGUAGUCCACGCCGUAAACGAUGAGUGCUAAGUGUUAGGGGGUUUCCGCCCCUUAGUGCUGCAGCUAACGCAUUAAGCACUCCGCCUGGGGAGUACGGUCGCAAGACUGAAACUCAAAGGAAUUGACGGGGGCCCGCACAAGCGGUGGAGCAUGUGGUUUAAUUCGAAGCAACGCGAAGAACCUUACCAGGUCUUGACAUCCUCUGACAAUCCUAGAGAUAGGACGUCCCCUUCGGGGGCAGAGUGACAGGUGGUGCAUGGUUGUCGUCAGCUCGUGUCGUGAGAUGUUGGGUUAAGUCCCGCAACGAGCGCAACCCUUGAUCUUAGUUGCCAGCAUUCAGUUGGGCACUCUAAGGUGACUGCCGGUGACAAACCGGAGGAAGGUGGGGAUGACGUCAAAUCAUCAUGCCCCUUAUGACCUGGGCUACACACGUGCUACAAUGGACAGAACAAAGGGCAGCGAAACCGCGAGGUUAAGCCAAUCCCACAAAUCUGUUCUCAGUUCGGAUCGCAGUCUGCAACUCGACUGCGUGAAGCUGGAAUCGCUAGUAAUCGCGGAUCAGCAUGCCGCGGUGAAUACGUUCCCGGGCCUUGUACACACCGCCCGUCACACCACGAGAGUUUGUAACACCCGAAGUCGGUGAGGUAACCUUUAUGAGCCAGCCGCCGAAGGUGACCAG
Molecule: ribosomal RNA, 1127 nt
Filed under: Bacillus amyloliquefaciens
Lineage: Bacteria; Bacillati; Bacillota; Bacilli; Caryophanales; Bacillaceae
Description: bacterial SSU rRNA
Rfam family: Bacterial small subunit ribosomal RNA
Source: RNAcentral